AACGAACGCUGGCGGCAGGCUUAACACAUGCAAGUCGAGCGCCCCGCAAGGGGCGCGGCAGCCGGGUGAGUAACGCGUGGGAACGUACCUUUUGGUUCGGAACAACUCCGGGAAACUGGAGCUAAUACCGGAUAAGCCCUAACGGGGAAAGAUUUAUCGCCGAAAGAUCGGCCCGCGUCUGAUUAGCUAGUUGGUGAGGUAACGGCUCACCAAGGCGACGAUCAGUAGCUGGUCAGAGAGGAUGAUCAGCCACACUGGGACUGAGACACGGCCCAGACUCCUACGGGAGGCAGCAGUGGGGAAUAUUGGACAAUGGGCGCAAGCCUGAUCCAGCCAUGCCGCGUGAGUGAUGAAGGCCUUAGGGUUGUAAAGCUCUUUUGUCCGGGAAGAUAAUGACUGUACCGGAAGAAUAAGCCCCGGCUAACUUCGUG
Molecule: ribosomal RNA, 431 nt
Filed under: uncultured bacterium
Lineage: Bacteria
Description: partial 16S ribosomal RNA
Rfam family: Bacterial small subunit ribosomal RNA
Source: RNAcentral